GGCUUCGUAGCUCAGCUGGUAGAGCGCUUGCUGCGUUGAGGCAUGAUGUAUCAGUCACUGGUUCGAAUCCAGCCGAAGCCC
RNAcentral lists this transfer RNA (81 nucleotides) under Paragonimus westermani. Its description in RNAcentral is "tRNA-Arg". It matches the Rfam family "tRNA". Rfam says of the family: Transfer RNA (tRNA) molecules are approximately 80 nucleotides in length. Lineage: Eukaryota; Metazoa; Platyhelminthes; Trematoda; Plagiorchiida; Troglotrematidae. The record is from RNAcentral.